UUGUUUCUUCUUUGUUGGCGAAAAAGAUUGUUCCAUCAAAAUUUUACUGGUUCUGAUAUGUUCAAGCAGUAAAAAAAAAAAGAAAUUCGUUGGGUAGAAUUUUAAAAAGAAACAAGAGGUCACUGGUAAAUGGGUUUUUAUGGAGGAUUUCUUUCUUCUGGAUCUAGUUUUCUUCUUUUUGUGGAAAAUGAGUGUUACUGGAAAGCUAUGACCAGUAAAAAAGA
Molecule: long non-coding RNA, 224 nt
Filed under: Nicotiana benthamiana
Lineage: Eukaryota; Viridiplantae; Streptophyta; Magnoliopsida; Solanales; Solanaceae
Description: long non-coding RNA (NBEN_LNC029794)
Source: RNAcentral